GCCGGGCGGUCGAGAGCCGGUCGUUGGGAAACACCGGGCACCAGACGUGUGUAAAAGCAGCUCUGUGGGAGAUACACACGCUUUGGCCGAACUACAUACCGUCAUUCCCCACUGACGACUGGGCCGACAUAUCUAAUGAGGAGCCUUCCUAGACAGAACAUCUUCAAGUCUUCACAAAUCCACAGUCAGCACCUGUUACGUUCAAGACUUCUUUGAGUGUCACUCUUUCAGUCAGGGUGUCUUGGACUUAACAUCUGCUGUGAAAGAUGGUGCAUUGGAAGUGCAGCCUGGCAUCUUCUGCACCAUCUCCAGAGGCCCUGCAGGCUGCCAUCGAAUAGUCAUCCAAGUGUUAGUCUUGAACAUAAAUGUACACCAGCCCCGAAGUCUGAGAUGGAUUGUAGCUAAGCAGUUCAUGAAAAAUGCUCUCCAUUGUUCUUUUGACAUCUGAGCUCUUCCCCCAUGUUUUUUGUUUUAUUUCUUCUUCUCAAAUAUUAUUAGCAGGACAGUAUGCUAGA
Long non-coding RNA from Hyaena hyaena (striped hyena), 515 nucleotides. RefSeq lists it as uncharacterized. The record is from RefSeq and is a predicted model, not a curated record. Lineage: Eukaryota; Metazoa; Chordata; Mammalia; Carnivora; Hyaenidae. The transcript is spliced from 3 exons.